GACGAACGCUGGCGGCGCGCCUAACACAUGCAAGUCGAACGAGCGAGAGAGAGCUUGCUUUCUCAAGCGAGUGGCGAACGGGUGAGUAACGCGUGAGGAACCUGCCUCAAAGAGGGGGACAACAGUUGGAAACGACUGCUAAUACCGCAUAAGCCCACAGCUCGGCAUCGAGCAGAGGGAAAAGGAGUGAUCCGCUUUGAGAUGGCCUCGCGUCCGAUUAGCUGGUUGGUGAGGUAACGGCCACCAAGGCGACGAUCGGUAGCCGGACUGAGAGGUUGAACGGCCACAUUGGGACUGAGACACGGCCCAG
This 310-nucleotide ribosomal RNA is filed under the name uncultured bacterium. RNAcentral describes it as "bacterial SSU rRNA". It matches the Rfam family "Bacterial small subunit ribosomal RNA", at positions 28 to 334 of the family's 1533-position model. The record is from RNAcentral.